Molecule: long non-coding RNA, 240 nt
Filed under: Elaeis guineensis (African oil palm)
Lineage: Eukaryota; Viridiplantae; Streptophyta; Magnoliopsida; Arecales; Arecaceae
Description: long non-coding RNA (EGUI_LNC062894)
Source: RNAcentral
UCGAUGGAGAAUUGAGUUUGAAUUUGAUCCUGCAAUCUCUUUCUGAAUCAUUCGCUCAAUUUAUUUUGAAUUAUCGCAUGAAUAAACUGAAUACCUCUUUGCUCGAGCUGUUGAACAUGCUUAAAACAGCUGAGAGCCACAUUAAAAAGGAAAAGGCUCCACUACUUCUUAUGGGUAAAAUCUCUAAGAAGAAAUUAGGUUUUAAGGGUUCAAAGAAAGCAUUGAACUCUAAAGGUGGCA